RNAcentral lists this non-coding RNA (151 nucleotides) under Saccoglossus kowalevskii. The record is from RNAcentral. Lineage: Eukaryota; Metazoa; Hemichordata; Enteropneusta; Harrimaniidae.
CCCUACCAAUAGCAUGUACCUUGACGUGGUGGUAGGGCAACUAAUUGAUCCGUUUUCAAAAGACAUAAAACGAUACGAAAUAAAAUAAUAAAGUAACUUUCUAUAGCCCAGACAAAGUCUUCUGGUAACGGAUCAACUAGACUAAACAUGC